UGCUUUAGUGUCAUGGUUUCAUCCCCACAUGGGCCAUUCACUUGAGAGUUGAACUUGAUAAUCCUUUUGGGUGCCUUCCAACCUGGAAU
Non-coding RNA from Sturnus vulgaris (Common starling), 89 nucleotides. NCBI's taxonomy places the organism in Eukaryota, Metazoa, Chordata, Aves, Passeriformes, Sturnidae. The record is from RefSeq and is a predicted model, not a curated record.